Molecule: non-coding RNA, 45 nt
Organism: Schistosoma curassoni
Lineage: Eukaryota; Metazoa; Platyhelminthes; Trematoda; Strigeidida; Schistosomatidae
Source: Rfam
AUCCAGCUGACGAGUCCUGAAUUGGACGAAACGCAUGUCCUGAAU